RNAcentral lists this ribosomal RNA (478 nucleotides) under uncultured bacterium. RNAcentral's name for it is "partial 16S ribosomal RNA". It matches the Rfam family "Bacterial small subunit ribosomal RNA", at positions 28 to 507 of the family's 1533-position model. The record is from RNAcentral.
GAUGAACGCUGGCGGCGUGCUUAACACAUGCAAGUCGAACGAGAAGUGGAGACGGAAACCUUCGGGCGGAAGACUUUACUUCGAGUAGCGGACGGGUGAGUAACGCGUGGGUAACCUGCCUCAUACAGGGGGAUAACAGUUGGAAACGACUGUUAAUACCGCAUAAGACCACAGCACCGCAUGGUGCGGGGGUAAAAACUCCGGUGGUAUGAGAUGGACCCGCGUUCGAUUAGCCAGUUGGCGGGGUAACGGCCCACCAAAGCGACGAUCGAUAGCCGAUCUGAGAGGAUGACCGGCCACAUUGGGACUGAGACACGGCCCAAACUCCUACGGGAGGCAGCAGUGGGGAAUAUUGCACAAUGGGGGAAACCCUGAUGCAGCGACGCCGCGUGAGUGAAGAAGUAUUUCGGUAUGUAAAGCUCUAUCAGCAGGGAAGAAAAUGACAGUACCUGAGUAAGAAGCCCCGGCUAACUACGUG